UUUUUGCCUGGUGGCCAUAGCGAGUAGGCCCCACCCGAUCCCAUUCCGAACUCGGAAGUGAAACUGCUCAGCGCCGAUGAUAGU
RNAcentral lists this ribosomal RNA (84 nucleotides) under Nitrosococcus oceani. The record is from RNAcentral. Lineage: Bacteria; Pseudomonadati; Pseudomonadota; Gammaproteobacteria; Chromatiales; Chromatiaceae.